RNAcentral lists this transfer RNA (96 nucleotides) under Morganella morganii. RNAcentral's name for it is "tRNA-Leu". The record is from RNAcentral. Lineage: Bacteria; Pseudomonadati; Pseudomonadota; Gammaproteobacteria; Enterobacterales; Morganellaceae.
AUAGCUAUUAACUAAUUGAUAUUUAUAUAAUAAGCAAUGAAUUUAAAAUCCCUCGGCGGCAACGCUGUGCGGGUUCAAGUCCCGCUCUGGGCACCA